RNAcentral lists this ribosomal RNA (253 nucleotides) under uncultured bacterium. Its description in RNAcentral is "partial 16S ribosomal RNA". It matches the Rfam family "Bacterial small subunit ribosomal RNA", at positions 524 to 776 of the family's 1533-position model. The record is from RNAcentral.
UACGUAGGUGGCAAGCGUUGUCCGGAUUUAUUGGGUUUAAAGGGUGCGUAGGCGGCUUGAUAAGUCAGUGGUGAAAGCCGAUUGCUUAACGAUCGAACUGCCAUCGAUACUACCAGGCUUGAGUAUAGAUGAGGUAGGCGGAAUUGACAGUGUAGCGGUGAAAUGCAUAGAUAUUGUCAAGAACACCAAUUGCGAAGGCAGCUUACUAAGUUAUAACUGACGCUGAGGCACGAAAGUGCGGGGAUCAAACAGG